AAUACAUAGAUCCACUCUAGAAGUCAGCGAGAGCUGGAGAACCGAUAAUUCUAAGCCUAGAGGAUGGUCACGAAAGAAGAGGAAAACAAAAAUUCAAUAGUGGACGAUGAUGAACAGAGAAAGUUUAGAAUAUAAUAUUUGUGUUUGAUUAAUUACCCGUAAAUGAGAAAGAGAUUACGAAUAGAAUUUACUAAACCAAAGGACUAAACCAUAAAACUAAAUCAAAGAUUAAAGAACUAAACCAAAAGGAUAACCGGUUUAUCCUAUAAGAAGAGCCAGUUAAGUGUAUGAGCAGAGUGUAUAUGAACCGUUAGCACUCGCACCACACUUACAACAACAGAGAAUAACUUCUGCGAAGGGGUGUUUACGUAAAAAUGCAGAGUCCUUGAUUCGCUAAAACCUUUUGUCCUUUACUCUCCUCCGAACCGUUUCCCAAAGCAUUUUUGCUUAAGUCGAUCCAUCUUCUCUGCGUUUCUCCUCGUUUAAGAAAUAGAAACCCUAAAAGCUCUUUAUUAAGAAGAAGACCCACCUCCUUAGAACUUGGUCCCACCACUUUUCUCCGGCAAAAGAAACCCAUACACACAGCUUUGUUUGGAGUUUCCUUAUGGAUGCAGAGGUUAUGUUUGAUGGUAAAGUUAGUUUAGAUUCUCAAGAUCAUGAUGAAUCAGUCCUUAUUGAUAAUAGUGUAACUAAGGAGAAUCCGGAUGUUGAUUUUCUUGAGAAUGAUAUGAAUAAGCACCGGUUAACUGUUUCAAGAUUCGUUAGUGAUUCGGUUACAAGUGGAAUGCCAAAUGCAGUUGAGACUCUAGCGGCUGAUAAGAUUGCUCAGACACAAGUGGAACUGUCGAGUUCUGAAGGAAACGAAACUUCGCAGUCUCGUUUGAUUCUUGACUAUGGGGAGACAUUGUUGGUGCAGGAAUCUUGUGGUUUGGUACUUGAGAAGAGUAAAGAGAUUGCUGGUUUGCGCCGGGAACUAGAGUUGAUUUCUAAGUUACUUUCGGGUCAUGAAAAGGGAGUCAUUAAGACUUUGGAGGACCAUGAAGAAACUACUGAUCUACUGCAACGUAAAGUCUCUGGUAAGCAUAUAGGAUCUGUCACGUCGUCAAAGCCUGAGAAUUUAGAGUAUUUAAGACAGUUACCACGCGAACAGUUGAUCAAUCAUUUUCAGACUGAGAUGAAUCAGUUGAAAAGAGAGCAUGAGUGUACGAUGCAAGAGAUGACUGAGGAGUAUUUUAGCAUUAAGAGAAGAUGCCUGAAACUAGAGGAGUGCCCUUCACUUUCUUUUUUGAACAAGGACAAGGAUUUUAAUGUGCUGCGAAAGAAGAUCCCUGAUAUCAUUUCGAAGCUGGACAAGGUUGUAUUGGAAGGUGAGAAGCUUAAAGGAAAGACCAAUGCUGAUUCCAAGAGGGAAUUAGAUUCUCUGCUUCUAGAAAACCGUCUACUUAAAGGUUCACUUUUAAAGGCUGGUGAGGAGAUGUCACAUAAUCAAGAGCUGGUCAGGAAGCUUGAAUCAGAUGUUGAGGAUUUGCAUGUUGAAGCCUCUAUCUAUGAAGAUGUAUAUAGGUCUUUUGUGGGAGAGUUUGUGAACCAGAUUCAGUGUGCAAAAGAAGAGGCUAAUUUGGAGAGAGAAGAAGCCUCUGCAAGCAAGAUUGCUCUUGAAGACUCUUGUGUGGAGUCCUACAUGGAAGAAGAGUACUGCGCGAUAAUGUACAAAGAAGCUUUGAAGGAAGCUGGUGAAAAGCUUGUAGAGCUGAAGAUAAAUGUAUCAGAAAGGGAACGAGCUUUGGGAUCGGAGAUUGCUGAGAAAGGAAUACUGAAAGAAAAGAUUCACUCGCUUGAAUGUCUUGUUAAGGAGAAGGAGAAUGAUUUGGCUAGAGUGAGGGAGAAGCUAGAGAUAGUAUGUCAACAUGUUAACAAUCUGCAAUCUCAAGUUGAUCAGCAAGCAGUAGUGAUUCAAGAUCAAAGCAAAGAACUGGGAGUUUCGUCAUCUCGUGAUCUGGAAAAGACUAAAGGUUAUGUUAUGGAGAUAUCUGAGUUGAGACAGAAGCUUGAGUUGGCUAGAAAGGAUAUGAAGAUAACCGAAAAUGAGAGAAUAAAGUCUGAGCUGAAAUUAUCAUCAACACAAGCAGAGCAGAAACUACUUCAGGAUCAGAUUGUAUCUACGGUUCUGAGUCUUGCUAAAUGGAGUCAAGAUUUCGAGUGUUUGGUAGCAGAAAAGACGAAGAAAGCAAACUCUAGGUUGAAAAGUAUGCAGAGCCAAUUAAAUGAUCUUAUAGAUGAAGUGGAUGAACUCAAGAUUAGAGAAUCGAUGUACAAGCAACAAAUGGAGAAGAAGACUUGUGACCUCCAAAAGGCUGAGACUGAGGUUGAUCUCCUUGGUGAUGAAAUUGAUUCUCUCUUGGACCUCCUUCAGAAAAUAUACAUAGCUCUUGAUCAUUACUCACCAAUUCUAAAGCACUACCCUGGCAUUAUGGAGAUCUUGAAGCUUGUCCAGAGGGAAUUGAGAAAAGGCUCGAAGAGAUUAUCAGUUUUCUGAUCUCGUCUUCAUAUAGUAAAAUCUCUUUUCUCACAAGUUUCAUUGCUUUACUGGUUGUCCAAGUCUACAUCCUCUGCCAAUGUUCACCUCUCUUCUUGUUUAGUAGGGUUGAUCUCGUUGAAGACAAAAUAGUACCUCUCUUGGAUCGUCGUAAGGAAUUUCUAUAACCCUCCAA
Brassica napus (rape) is the source of this 2711-nucleotide RNA transcript. It is a transcript of the gene named WPP domain-associated protein, with no coding region annotated. NCBI's taxonomy places the organism in Eukaryota, Viridiplantae, Streptophyta, Magnoliopsida, Brassicales, Brassicaceae. The transcript has 6 exons. The record is from RefSeq and is a predicted model, not a curated record.